Molecule: long non-coding RNA, 295 nt
Organism: Oncorhynchus tshawytscha (Chinook salmon)
Lineage: Eukaryota; Metazoa; Chordata; Actinopteri; Salmoniformes; Salmonidae
Source: Ensembl
CCGGUACAGAGUCAAUGUGGAGGCUAUAUACAGGGGGUACCGGUACAGAGUCAAUGUGGAGACUAUAUACAGGGGGUACCGGUACAGAGUCAAGGUGGAGACUAUAUACAGGGGGUACCGGUACAGAGUCAAUGUGGAGACUAUAUACAGGGGGUAUCGGUACAGAGUCAAUGUGGAGGCUAUAUACAGGGGGUACCGGUACAGAGUCAAUGUGGAGGCUAUAUACAGGGGGUACCGGUACAGAGUCAAUGUGGAGGCUAUAUACAGGGGGUACUGGUACAGAGUCAAUGUGGAG